AGAGUUUGAUCAUGGCUCAGAUUGAACGCUGGCGGCAGGCCUAACACAUGCAAGUCGAGCGGUAGCACAGAGAGCUUGCUCUCGGGUGACGAGCGGCGGACGGGUGAGUAAUGUCUGGGAAACUGCCUGAUGGAAGGGGAUAACUACUGGAAACGGUAGCUAAUACCGCAUAAUGUCGCAAGACCAAAGUGGGGGACCUUCGGGCCUCAUGCCAUCAGAUGUGCCCAGAUGGGAUUAGCUAGUAGGUGGGGUAACGGCUCACCUAGGCGACGAUCCCUAGCUGGUCUGAGAGGAUGACCAGCCACACUGGAACUGAGACACGGUCCAGACUCCUACGGGAGGCAGCAGUGGGGAAUAUUGCACAAUGGGCGCAAGCCUGAUGCAGCCAUGCCGCGUGUGUGAAGAAGGCCUUCGGGUUGUAAAGCACUUUCAGCGGGGAGGAAGGCGNCGAUUGACGUUACCCGCAGAAGAAGCACCGGCUAACUCCGUGCCAGCAGCCGCGGUAAUACGGAGGGUGCAAGCGUUAAUCGGAAUUACUGGGCGUAAAGCGCACGCAGGCGGUCUGUCAAGUCGGAUGUGAAAUCCCCGGGCUCAACCUGGGAACUGCAUUCGAAACUGGCAGGCUAGAGUCUUGUAGAGGGGGGUAGAAUUCCAGGUGUAGCGGUGAAAUGCGUAGAGAUCUGGAGGAAUACCGGUGGCGAAGGCGGCCCCCUGGACAAAGACUGACGCUCAGGUGCGAAAGCGUGGGGAGCAAACAGGAUUAGAUACCCUGGUAGUCCACGCCGUAAACGAUGUCGAUUUGGAGGUUGUGCCCUUGAGGCGUGGCUUCCGGAGCUAACGCGUUAAAUCGACCGCCUGGGGAGUACGGCCGCAAGGUUAAAACUCAAAUGAAUUGACGGGGGCCCGCACAAGCGGUGGAGCAUGUGGUUUAAUUCGAUGCAACGCGAAGAACCUUACCUGGUCUUGACAUCCACAGAACUUUCCAGAGAUGGAUUGGUGCCUUCGGGAACUGUGAGACAGGUGCUGCAUGGCUGUCGUCAGCUCGUGUUGUGAAAUGUUGGGUUAAGUCCCGCAACGAGCGCAACCCUUAUCCUUUGUUGCCAGCGGU
RNAcentral lists this ribosomal RNA (1108 nucleotides) under Klebsiella pneumoniae. RNAcentral's name for it is "bacterial SSU rRNA". It matches the Rfam family "Bacterial small subunit ribosomal RNA", at positions 8 to 1125 of the family's 1533-position model. Lineage: Bacteria; Pseudomonadati; Pseudomonadota; Gammaproteobacteria; Enterobacterales; Enterobacteriaceae. The record is from RNAcentral.